CGAGAGUUGAUCAUGGCUCAGGAUGAACGCUGGCGGCGUGCCUAACACAUGCAAGUCGAACGGUGAUAUAUAGAUGAUUCGGUCUGAAAUAUAUCAUAGUGGCGGACGGGUGAGUAACGCGUGGAUAACCUGCCCCGUACUGGGGGAUAGCAGCUGGAAACGGCUGGUAAUACCGCAUAAGCGCACGAGGGGGCCUCCCCCUGUGUGAAAAGAUUCAUCGGUACGGGAUGGGUCCGCGUCUGAUUAGCCAGUUGGCGGGGUAACGGCCCACCAAAGCGACGAUCAGUAGCCGGCCUGAGAGGGUGAACGGCCACAUUGGGACUGAGACACGGCCCAGACUCCUACGGGAGGCAGCAGUGGGGAAUAUUGCACAAUGGGCGAAAGCCUGAUGCAGCGAACCGCCGCGUGAGUGAAGAAGUAUUUCGGUAUGUAAAGCUCUAUCAGCAGGGAAGAAAGGCCCUUUUGGGAGAUGACGGUACCUGACUAAGAAGCCCCGGCUAACUACGUGCCAGCAGCGGC
Molecule: ribosomal RNA, 519 nt
Filed under: uncultured bacterium
Lineage: Bacteria
Description: bacterial SSU rRNA
Rfam family: Bacterial small subunit ribosomal RNA
Source: RNAcentral